This 522-nucleotide ribosomal RNA is filed under the name uncultured bacterium. Its description in RNAcentral is "bacterial SSU rRNA". It matches the Rfam family "Bacterial small subunit ribosomal RNA", at positions 988 to 1509 of the family's 1533-position model. The record is from RNAcentral.
CCAGAGAACUUUCCAGAGAUGGAUUGGUGCCCUUCGGGAACUCUGAGACAGGUGCUGCAUGGCUGUCGUCAGCUCGUGUUGUGAAAUGUUGGGUUAAGUCCCGCAACGAGCGCAACCCUUAUCCUUUGUUGCCAGCGGUCCGGCCGGGAACUCAAAGGAGACUGCCAGUGAUAAACUGGAGGAAGGUGGGGAUGACGUCAAGUCAUCAUGGCCCUUACGAGUAGGGCUACACACGUGCUACAAUGGCGCAUACAAAGAGAAGCGACCUCGCGAGAGCAAGCGGACCUCAUAAAGUGCGUCGUAGUCCGGAUUGGAGUCUGCAACUCGACUCCAUGAAGUCGGAAUCGCUAGUAAUCGUGGAUCAGAAUGCCACGGUGAAUACGUUCCCGGGCCUUGUACACACCGCCCGUCACACCAUGGGAGUGGGUUGCAAAAGAAGUAGGUAGCUUAACCUUCGGGAGGGCGCUUACCACUUUGUGAUUCAUGACUGGGGUGAAGUCGUAACAAGGUAAGCGUAGUGCU